GACGUAGGAGGCGAGCGUUAUCCGGAUUCACUGGGCGUAAAGCGCAUGUAGGCGGUCGGACAAGUCCUUACUGAAAGCCCCUGGCUCAACUGGGGGAGGCGUGAGGAGACUGUACGACUGGAGGGCAGGAGAGGUCGGUGGAACUCCCGGUGUAGCGGUGGAAUGCGUAGAGAUCGGGAAGAACAUCAGUGGCGAAGGCGACCGACUGGGCUGCACCUGACGCUGGAAUGCGAAAGUGUGGGGAGCAAACGGG
RNAcentral lists this ribosomal RNA (253 nucleotides) under uncultured bacterium. Its description in RNAcentral is "partial 16S ribosomal RNA". It matches the Rfam family "Bacterial small subunit ribosomal RNA", at positions 524 to 776 of the family's 1533-position model. The record is from RNAcentral.